Molecule: long non-coding RNA, 374 nt
Organism: Daucus carota subsp. sativus
Lineage: Eukaryota; Viridiplantae; Streptophyta; Magnoliopsida; Apiales; Apiaceae
Exons: 2
Source: RefSeq, a predicted model, not a curated record
GAGAUUCGAACAUUAUAUAACACGUAGUAUCAUACGAAGAGAUCAACACAACAAACACACUGUGAUGGCAAAGUUACAUUGCCUCUGCUUCUGUCUCCUAGCCCUUUUCCUCUCAGAGACCUUGACGACGAACAAAGUGGGUGCUGCAGUUUGUCCUGAUUUCAUAACCAUUGUUAAGUGCAAAUACUCCGACUGCAACAAGAUUUGCUUUGACAGACACAAGCAAGGCAGUACUGGAUUCUGUGUUGGCCGAAGUGCAUGCAGCUGUUUUUAUAGAUGUGAUCGUUAGUUUUAAGUUUAAUCAACAUCUUCCCUUUUAGUAAUGAAAUAAAACAUGGAGAAAUGCUAUUGAUCUCAAAAUGAUUUCCGAUUAA